AUGGACUAUGUGUCCAUUCCGUUUCCUGCGCUCCGUCCUCCCGCAACCUGCCUCAGCUCGCUCACCUACAGGCGCAGGUGCAGUCC
This 86-nucleotide small RNA is filed under the name Formivibrio sp. RNAcentral's name for it is "sX9 sRNA". It matches the Rfam family "Xanthomonas sRNA sX9". Lineage: Bacteria; Pseudomonadati; Pseudomonadota; Betaproteobacteria; Neisseriales; Chitinibacteraceae. The record is from RNAcentral.